GCUGAGCACAGUGUCAUGCCUGUAGUCCCAGCCACUCAGAAGGCUGUGGCAGGAGGAUCACUUGAGCCCAGGAGUUCUAGGAGGUAGUGCACUAUGUUGAUUGGGCACCUGCACUAAUUUGGGCAUCAAUAUGGUGGACUUCCAUAAGUGGGAACCACUAGGUUGCUUAAGGAGUGGUGAACUGGCCCAAGUUGGAAACAAAGCAAGUCAAAACUCCCAUGCUGAUCACAUGAGAGGUAAAGUGACUAGUCCAAGUUCAUACAGCGAGAUAAGGGUUGAGAUGAAACCAUAUCU
Molecule: unclassified non-coding RNA, 294 nt
Organism: Mustela putorius furo (domestic ferret)
Lineage: Eukaryota; Metazoa; Chordata; Mammalia; Carnivora; Mustelidae
Rfam family: Metazoan signal recognition particle RNA
About the family: The signal recognition particle (SRP) is a universally conserved ribonucleoprotein. It is involved in the co-translational targeting of proteins to membranes. The eukaryotic SRP consists of a 300-nucleotide 7S RNA and six proteins: SRPs 72, 68, 54, 19, 14, and 9.
Source: Ensembl